Molecule: ribosomal RNA, 464 nt
Filed under: uncultured bacterium
Lineage: Bacteria
Description: partial 16S ribosomal RNA
Rfam family: Bacterial small subunit ribosomal RNA
Source: RNAcentral
GACGAACGCUGGCGGCGUGCUUAACACAUGCAAGUCGAACGGAAAGGCCCUGCUUGCAGGGUACUCGAGUGGCGAACGGGUGAGUAACACGUGGGUGAUCUGCCCUCCACUUCGGGAUAAGCCUGGGAAACUGGGUCUAAUACCGGAGAGGAGCCAUUUUUAGUGUGAUGGUUGGAAAGUUUUUUCGGUGUGGGAUGAGCUCGCGGCCUAUCAGCUUGUUGGUGGGGUAAUGGCCUACCAAGGCGGCGACGGGUAGCCGGCCUGAGAGGGUGGACGGCCACAUUGGGACUGAGAUACGGCCCAGACUCCUACGGGAGGCAGCAGUGGGGAAUAUUGCACAAUGGGCGGAAGCCUGAUGCAGCGACGCCGCGUGGGGGAUGACGGCCUUCGGGUUGUAAACUGCUUUCGCCAGGGACGAAGCUUUUUGUGACGGUACGUAGAUAGGAAACACCGGCUAACUACGU